Molecule: long non-coding RNA, 2505 nt
Organism: Lathyrus oleraceus (garden pea)
Lineage: Eukaryota; Viridiplantae; Streptophyta; Magnoliopsida; Fabales; Fabaceae
Exons: 5
Source: RefSeq, a predicted model, not a curated record
UAAUAAUACCAUUAAUUACUGGGAAUUUUUUUUUAAAAGGAAGUUUCCUUUGGAAACUGAAAUCGAAAACAAAGCGGUAUACUUCUCCUCUUCAUUCGUUUUAAAUAUGUUCACUAGUUUUUCACUGAAAAGAAAGAAAACAAAAGGUGAAAUGGCGAUGAACACCACCCUUCAAUGCUCAUCCUCAUCCAACCCCAGAUUCUGCUAAUAGAAGCCACGACACUCAAACCUCCUAAAUGAAAACGAACACCAUACCACCCAUUUCUAGACCUUAAGCUGAAUUUCUUUAAGCCAUCAUCUUUUCACAGUGGAUCUGAAGUUUGAAUAACAAAAACCCUAGCUUCUAAUCCGCCUCUCAUACCAACAAUCAACAAUCAAGAUUAAUAAAUCACAAACACAGAGCCAAAACUAUGUAAAAGUUGUGCUGUUGAAACAAUUAAAUCAAAUGGGAAGAAGUUUCGUUGAGGUUUCACAAAUUCGAUGAAAGUCUGGUAGUUGCGAAUAUACCUUGGGGUCCCUUUUUAGUGGAUUUCAUUCCCUUUUUAUAGAGAGGUGGUACGAGGUUCAUGCGUCCUUAUCCUUCAUGAGCUGGCAAAUCUUGGAUAGGAUCAAUCCGUUAGAGGGAAUUUUCCUUCAGAUUUGGUGGGGACCAAUUAUUUGCUCCAGAUUUUGUUAAGCAAGAAAUUCUUUCUGUCUGUUGUGAGUGAGUGUUUUUUUGUCUGUAGCGACGCAUUUUCAUCCAUUUAAAACUCAAGUGGUCCCUUUAAUCUGCAGCUUAAGCCUUCUAGCUUGGGACACUCGGCUGGUGAAAUCAUGAAUUACAUCGCAGUUGUUGCACAGGAGAACUUCCAUGGUGGUAUCUAAAAUGGACCUUUGCACUGCAACUUGUUCUUUCUAUUGUUAUCCUUUUUGGUGUGGUUGGUAUUGGUUUUAUGCAGGUGUGAAUGCAAUAGCCUGUUGUGUUGUAGUUGGUGCAGGUUCAUGGUUAUCGAGUAACCUGAAAUAUGGUUGUGGACAGGGUCUGUUUAUGUAUCAUGAUGUUGUAACAUGUGUGUUCCUGUUUUAAGCCUGAACUCUUUUAGCUGCAGAUUCAAACCUUGCAUAUUUAGUGUUUCCGCUGGUCUUACUUAGCUGAUGUGAUGAUGAUGUUUGACUCCAUGGCCAUUUGAGCUGCUGUGAAUGAUAAGUUUGAUUCAAUCCUUACUGAUUUUGCUUAGUAUAAUGGACUUGAUCAUAAUUGCUUUCCACUGAUGCACUUUGAAAUCUUGCGAACAACUGUGCAGGUAUAUGAAGGCUCGGUUUGGCGGCAAGCUUCCAAGAUGACUGGCAAUGUUGCUGGAAUUAACAACAUGAGCAGCACCAUCUGUCAAGAUAACUUGGAGAUUUUCAACUGGAUGUCCAAUUAAGGCACCAGAGUUGGCAGCUUCUUUAAAACCUUUUCUCCAUUGCAGGGAUAAAAUUUGGUGGAACAGCUUUGGCCAACAAGCAUGUUUUCAAAUUCAAACUUAGUUCCCGACUGUAAUGUAGAAUUCACUGUCUUGCCGAAUAUACUGUCCUCAUGGUUAAUGUAAUUUUCUUGUGAUGAGUGACUGGAAAUGAUGGCAUGUUAAGUUAUGUUCCAUGGUUUUUGUGCAACCCGGUUAUGGACUUAAGUUCAGAACACUGCCUGGUUACACAUACUUUUGGGAAAAUGUCUUGCGGACUUACAAGAGGAGUGGAAAUAUUCGGGUCGUGGUCGUGUUCACCGUGAACCUGGUUUAGAACCUGCAACUGAUUUUUUUUACCUGUACCUGGUUUUUAUUCAGAGGAACUUCACACCUUAUUUGGGUUUGAGCUGCUUUAUACAGUUGGAUUUUAUGAAAGAAUCCUCCCUUGUCAGAUCCAUCGAGAGCCAAUGCUUGUUUUUGCCACUACUUCAGUCUCAAAAACGAUUCUUGCAAAUUCUUGAAUAGUAGGGAAUCCUUCCAACAUGAACUUUUUGUAAUGUCAACCAAUCCUUAGAUCAUAGGCCACACAACUUUGUAAAAUCAUGAGGUUACUAUAACUGUAAAUUAUGCUUUUGACGAUGGUAUUUUCAGAAAGAUCAAGCCAUAGUUUCCAUGAGUUUAUCCAUUUCUUUGUUUUGCUGAAAUCAAAAACAGUUGCAGCAAGGUUGGCCUCAAUUCAUUAGCAUCGAUUUGGUUGAUUGCAGGUUGAACUCAGCUACUAUUUUCCAUUGUUAUGAUAUCAUUACUUGCUGCUGGAAGUGUCGGGAAUGUUGCCGGUAGCGGCUUUGGUUUACCUUAUUGAUAUGCCGCAGCUUUAAGUUUGGAUUUGAAUGGCAUGGAGUCCUUGUUGGUUUACUAUGUUGCAAAUAAAACCUGGUUGUAAUUCCCCUUUGUCUUACAUGUGAAACAAACCUUUGGUCUUGGGUUAUGUAAAAUUAUUGUCUCUGUUUUGUAAACUGAACUGCCAUUUGGAUUGUAUUAUCUUUUAAUCAUUUUGAACAAAGUGGAUUGUGAUUCA